UACGGAGGGUGCGAACGUUAAUCGGAAUCACUGGGCGUAAAGCGCGCGUAGGCGGUUUGUUAAGUGGGAUGUGAAAUCCCCGGGCUUAACCUGGGAACUGCAUUUCAAACUGGCCGACUAGAGUACGGUAGAGGGAGGUAGAAUUUCCUGUGUAGCGGUGAAAUGCGUAGAUAUAGGAAGGAAUACCAGUGGCGAAGGCGGCCUCCUGGAUCGAUACUGACGCUGAGGCGCGAAAGCGUGGGGAGCAAACAGG
This 253-nucleotide ribosomal RNA is filed under the name uncultured bacterium. Its description in RNAcentral is "partial 16S ribosomal RNA". It matches the Rfam family "Bacterial small subunit ribosomal RNA", at positions 524 to 776 of the family's 1533-position model. The record is from RNAcentral.